This 3939-nucleotide unclassified non-coding RNA is filed under the name Anthonomus grandis grandis. RNAcentral's name for it is "pre-mRNA-splicing factor ATP-dependent RNA helicase PRP16". Lineage: Eukaryota; Metazoa; Arthropoda; Insecta; Coleoptera; Curculionidae. The record is from RNAcentral.
UUAAUUGGUCGCUAUCGAUCGGGCUAUAGCUUCACACAUACAUUUAUGUUUGGUUAUAUAUUUUGUUUGGCUGGAGGUUUAUUUAUACUUACGAACUUUGUUAAAUACUCUACAUGAUUAAUUGGCAAAGGUUGUCCGCAAUUGAAUGCACAAAUGGACGAAGACGGAAUUCACCGGCUUGAAGGGACAUCUGGCAAUGAACGAGGGGGCUUAAUAGUGAAAAAGAGACAGGAACCUACAUUUAAAGUGCCGAAACCCUCGCUUUUGGGUCUUGAUCGACUAGCAGCCCUAAAGCGCAAAGAAAAACAGGAUGCUGCUCGAAAAAUUUCAUUUUCAAUAGAUGAUGACAGCCCUGAAGCGAGUUCUAAAGUUUGGCCAAGGUCAGGAAAAGAGCGUAAAUACAGAUCAUCUGAGGUUGAGACACCUACCUAUACAGGAGGUGUUAGUCGUGAAGCAAAAGAACGAUUUCAAGAACGGGAGAAGCAAAGGUUUAAAGAAAAAGGUGUAUAUGCAACAACAAAAGAACAUAGAAGGCAUAAUAAUAUUAAGGAUCUGGAGAGGGAUAAACAUAGAAGACAUGGAGAUAGAGAUGGUGGUAGAGAUAGAGAGAGCAAACAUCCAGACAAAGAUAGAAAAAGCAGUUCUCAUAGAGAAAGAACACUAAAAUUUAGAGAUGAACCCAAGACCCCAAACAUAAAACUAAAAGAUUCCGUUUCAAAAAGCACAUGGGAUGAAGAUGAGGAAUCCCCUCCUAGCAAAAGAUCUAGUUGGGAUUUUCCUACUCCCAAUGUUUACAAAAAAACCGAUGGAAAUUGGUCGGAAAUAAGUUCAGGAUCAAGAAAUCUUGGGGAAUCUUCUAGAAGGGAUGAUGAAAAAAAUAAAAGUUGGAGAGAAUGGAGGGGAAUCAGACGAUAUGUGGAUGACAGUGAAAGGGCUACUCCAGCCCAUAAGUACAAUGCCUGGAUGAAGGAUCGAAAAAAAACUGGAGCAACACCUGGUUUGAACGAAGAACAGGUGAAAUGGGAUGCCACAGAAGAUAGAGAAAACUGGGAGGAAGAACAGAAACGGCUUGACCGAGAAUGGUAUAAUAUGGGUGAAGGAUAUGAUGAUGAAAACAAUCCAUUUUCCAGCGUAAGCGAUGAAUACACUAAAAAAAAAGAAGAGCAGUUGGAGCAAAGAAGGAAAAAACGACUUAGCGCCCAACAACGACAAAUAAACAAGGAUAAUGAGCUCUGGGAGAGAAAUAGAAUGCUAACUUCAGGUGUGGUACAUUCGGUAGACUACAACGAGGAUUUUGAUGAAGAAUCGGUUGACAGAGUACAUUUGUUAGUGCAUAACAUUGUUCCACCAUUUCUUGAUGGGAGGAUUGUCUUUACUAAGCAACCUGAACCAGUUAUACCAGUGAGAGAUCCUACUUCUGACAUGGCCAUGGUAGCCAGGAAGGGAUCCCAUUUGGUGAGAGUUUUUAGGGAACAAAAAGAAAGGAAGAAGGCUCAGAAAAAACACUGGGAAUUAGGUGGUACGAAAAUGGGAAACAUUAUGGGCAUUAAGAAAAAAGAAGAUGAAGAAGAAAAAAAGUUUAAUAAAGAGGACGACUGCACUGAUUACAAGGCCGACCACAAAUUUGCUGAACACAUGAAGAGGCCUGGAGAAGCAUCAAGUGACUUUGCCCGGAAAAAAUCAAUUGCUGAACAAAGGCGUUAUCUGCCAGUAUUUGCUGUAAGGCAGGAACUUCUUAAUGUCAUUAGGGAAAACAAUGUUGUCAUCAUAGUGGGUGAAACUGGUAGUGGUAAGACCACCCAAUUAACGCAGUACCUUCAUGAGGACGGUUAUAGCAAGUAUGGUAUGAUUGGAUGCACUCAGCCAAGAAGAGUAGCUGCCAUGUCAGUAGCCAAAAGAGUAAGUGAUGAAAUGGGCACAAAUUUAGGAGAUGAAGUGGGGUAUGCUAUCAGAUUUGAGGACUGCACAUCUGAGAGUACAGUUAUUAAAUACAUGACUGACGGUAUCCUAUUACGUGAGAGCUUAAGAGAACCAGACCUUGACCACUACAGUGCGAUUAUAAUGGACGAAGCGCAUGAAAGAUCACUUAGCACAGAUGUGCUUUUUGGUUUGUUACGGGAGAUAGUGGCCAGGAGACAUGAUUUAAAACUAAUUGUGACGUCAGCUACAAUGGACAGUAGCAAGUUUUCCAUGUUUUUUGGAAAUGUACCCACAUUUACUAUACCAGGUAGGACUUUUCCUGUAGAAACCUUAUACAGUAAAAAUCCAGUAGAAGAUUACGUGGAUGCAGCUGUAAAACAGGCUCUACAGAUUCAUUUACAGCCGCCCUCCGGGGACAUAUUAAUAUUUAUGCCUGGACAGGAAGAUAUUGAGGUUUCAUGUGAGAUUUUAGCAGAACGGCUUGCAGAAAUUGAAAAUGCGCCGGAAUUAUCAAUUUUGCCAAUUUACUCUCAGUUACCAUCGGAUUUACAAGCGAAAAUUUUUCAACGCUCUCCGGAAGGAAUCAGGAAAUGCGUGGUUGCAACGAAUAUUGCUGAAACGUCUCUAACCGUCGAUGGUAUUAUUUUUGUUAUCGAUAGCGGGUAUUGCAAAUUAAAAGUUUACAAUCCUAGGAUCGGUAUGGAUGCUUUGCAGAUCUACCCAAUAUCUCAAGCAAACGCCAACCAGCGUUCCGGUCGAGCUGGUCGUACAGGACCAGGCCAAGCAUUUCGCCUUUAUACAGAACGCCAGUAUAAAGAUGAACUUUUAAUAACAACGGUACCGGAAAUCCAGCGCACCAACUUGGCCAAUACGGUACUUCUUCUAAAAUCUCUUGGAGUCCAGGAUCUGUUACAGUUUCAUUUUAUGGAUCCUCCGCCGCAGGAUAAUAUUCUAAAUUCCUUAUAUCAGUUAUGGAUUUUAGGUGCAUUAGAUCAUACAGGCGUUUUAACCAAGUUGGGUAGACAAAUGGCAGAAUUCCCUCUUGAUCCUCCUCAGUGCCAAAUGUUGAUUGUAUCUACACAAAUGGGAUGCACUGCUGAAAUUUUAGUUAUUGUUUCAAUGUUGUCUGUACCUUCCAUAUUUUAUAGACCCAAAGGUCGUGAGGAAGAAUCUGAUGGUGUGAGGGAGAAGUUCCAGGUACCAGAAAGCGACCAUCUAACCUUUCUAAACGUAUAUAACCAGUGGAAACAAAAUGGAUAUUCCUCGCACUGGUGCAAUGAACAUUUUAUCCACAUUAAAGCAAUGAGAAAAGUAAGGGAAGUUAGACAGCAGCUCAAAGAUAUUGUUGUGCAGCAGAAGUUAGAGAUCAAAUCUUGUGGAACCGAUUGGGAUGUUGUUAGAAAAUGCAUAUGUAGUGCUUACUUCCAUCAAGCGGCUCGAUUAAAAGAGGAGUUUUUACAUUGACAAUUUUCCACCAUGUCCAAAUAAUACUAAUAAAGUGUGCUAUGUCGUGUGAAAAGGGUACAUCAUGAACAACAUUUUUGAGAGCCUCUAUCAUAAAAGGAUUAAAAAUUUUGAGAGCUAACUUAACAUUUUGCCUUUCAAUAGAUGAUGGAAACAAAGCUUCUAAACUAGGGAUAAUAACGCCCGACCUGGCCAUACUGAGUAUCUGGAAUCGGACGGCAUUAAUCGUUUAGACUGGCCUGCAUUAUCGCCAGACAUUAAUCCCAUAGAACAUGCUUGAGACAUGCUUUCCAGGGCAGUGUCAGCACACAGAAACGCGCCGAGCAAAUAUGCUGCUUGGGAAGAACGGCACAAUAUUCCUCUACAGAAUAUCUUCAAUUUCAGAGACAGUAUGGGCAGACAUCUCCAAGCUUCCAUAAACGCUAAAGAUUGAAAUAAACAGUAUUAAAAAUUUAGUCCAGUACCUCUAUUAAGAAAAGCUAUCAAUGUGUAUUAAAAAAUAACCCUAUAUUUUAGAAAAAAAUGUUAAGAGUAAUAAUUUUCGUCUUACAAGCA